AUCGAACGCUGGCGGCAGGCUUAACACAUGCAAGUCGAGCGGAGAUGAGGUGCUUGCACCUUAUCUUAGCGGCGGACGGGUGAGUAAUGCUUAGGAAUCUGCCCGAUAGUGGGGGACAACGUUUCGAAAGGAACGCUAAUACCGCAUACGUCCUACGGGAGAAAGUGGGGGCUCUUCGGACCUCACGCUAUCGGAUGAGCCUAGGUCGGAUUAGCUAGUUGGUGGGGUAAAGGCUCACCAAGGCGACGAUCCGUAACUGGUCUGAGAGGAUGAUCAGUCACACUGGAACUGAGACACGGUCCAGACUCCUACGGGAGGCAGCAGUGGGGAAUAUUGGACAAUGGGCGAAAGCCUGAUCCAGCCAUGCCGCGUGUGUGAAGAAGGUCUUCGGAUUGUAAAGCACUUUAAGUCGGGAGGAAGGGCUGCAGGUUAAUACCUUGCAGCCUUGACGUUACCGACAGAAUAAGCACCGGCUAACUUCGUGCCAGCAGCCGCGGUAA
Molecule: ribosomal RNA, 500 nt
Filed under: uncultured bacterium
Lineage: Bacteria
Description: partial 16S ribosomal RNA
Rfam family: Bacterial small subunit ribosomal RNA
Source: RNAcentral